GACGAACGCUGGCGGCGUGCCUAAUACAUGCAAGUAGAACGCACAGUUUAUACCGUAGCUUGCUACACCAUAGACUGUGAGUUGCGGACGGGUGAGUAACGCGUAGGUAACCUGCCUGGUAGCGGGGGAUAACUAUCGGAAACGAUAGCUAAUACCGCAUAAUAUUAAUUAUUGCAUGAUAAUUAAUUGAAAGGUGCAAUUGCACCACUACCAGAUGGACCUGCGUUGUAUUAGCUAGUAGGUGAGGUAACGGCUCACCUAGGCGACGAUACAUAGCCGACCUGAGAGGGUGAUCGGCCACACUGGGACUGAGACACGGCCCAGACUCCUACGGGAGGCAGCAGUAGGGAAUCUUCGGCAAUGGACGAAAGUCUGACCGAGCAACGCCGCGUGAGUGAAGAAGGUUUUCGGAUCGUAAAGCUCUGUUGUAAGAGAAGAACGGGUGUGAGAGUGGAAAGUUCACACUGUGACGGUAUCUUACCAGAAAGGGACGGCUAACUACGUG
This 505-nucleotide ribosomal RNA is filed under the name uncultured bacterium. Its description in RNAcentral is "partial 16S ribosomal RNA". It matches the Rfam family "Bacterial small subunit ribosomal RNA", at positions 28 to 507 of the family's 1533-position model. The record is from RNAcentral.